UGUAAUAUAUAUCAAAGACAAUGUAACAUUUGCAUUUACCAUUUGUAAUAUAUAUAUGUUACAGUAUAAUAUAUGCAUGUACCAUUCAUAGACAAUCCACCUUUAGUAACAUAUAGCUUAGACAAUGUUAUAUAUACCUGUACCAUUGGAGUCAAUGUAAUAGAUAUAACUGAGACAAUGUUAUUUGUACAUGUAACAAGAAUGGAUAUUUAUGGCAUGUUUUUAUCACCUGCCGAAAUGUGGCGGGGAUAUAGAAAUAGUCUUCGUCUGUCCGUCCGUCCUUCCGUUCGACUGUUUUGUCCGGAGCAUAUCUCAAAAAGUAUUUAAGAUAUCAACAUGAAACUUCAUAGAUGGAUAGAUCAUAUUGAGAAAGAGUGCAGUACAAAAGAAUGAUAACUCUACCCUGCAUAAUUUUGAAAUCUUGCCCUUUAUUAUUCAAACUAAAUUUUUGUCCAGAGCAUAACUUAAAAAACCUUUGAGAUAUCGACAUGAAACGUCAUAGGGGGAUAUAUCUCACUCAGGAGGUGUGCAGUGCUUAACGCCCAUUCUCAAUAAAAUAAAGCAUUUGAGGUUGAAAAAUAUUAAAAAUUUGAUGUUGUCAUUGUGUCAUUUUUUAUCGCUGAAGUAAAUGUUUAGGGUAUUUUGCAAGUUUGCCAGAAAUGUUUUAAACAAGAAACUAUGAUAUAACAGGAUGGCAUUUAUUUCGGUAAUGACACUGUAUUUCUUCGGUAACGUAGAUUUCAGAUCUAAUAAUGUAACAUAUUGGCUGCAUAUUAAUAACAAAUGUCUGUAAAAUAUAUCAAAAUCUGUAAAUUCUCUAUCUAGAGGGACUUUCUAACCCAGGAAAAUUCAAUGAAGAUGGGUACCUUGCUAAUUUUCAGUCAAUUUCUCCAAAGUUAAAUAUUUGUACCGUAGAAAGCAAAAAUAGUCAAUUUUGAAAAUGAUUAUUUUAUGUCUUCAUUCAAAGGAUAUAUAUCAUAUAUAAUAUAUGAGAGGUCGAAUGCAUACACAAUUUUUGUAUUAGCAAUUUUUUUUCUCAAAAUAUUCAAUUUUCCACUUUCUUAAUAUUUGGAAAAUUUAGUACUAAACAGUUCGAUAUUUAUCCCCAUAUAGGAUGUCACGUAUGUUUCAUUUUAUUCAAAUGCAAGUAAAGGUUGAGAAAACAAUUUUAUUUUUUGUAAAAUAAUUUAUAUUUAUGGAUAUUAUUUUAACAUUAUUAUAUAUAGAAUGAAAUACAGCCAGUAAGCUCUUUGCAGAAACGAAUUAGUUGUUGCUGAGAACAUCAAUAUCUUGUAAUAUAUUUUUAACAUUUUUGCUGGUACAUCAACAUAUUAUUAACAUAUCUUUCCUUUGUAAAAACAAUUUUGUGUCUUCUUACAUCUUAUACAAGGUAACCGUUACUAACAGGCAUGCUAAUCCCAACUUUAUCUUUAAUUUUCAAAAAGUGUUGAAUGGUAAGUUGGAGUAACGUAUGUUUCACUCUCGCUUAUUUAUGAACUUUAUCACGGAAUUUAAACUUACAUGUAAAAUCGAUUUUUUUAAUUAGGAAUCAAAUGCACAUCAUUCUAUUGUCAUAAAAAUGCGAUUUUAUGUUUUUAUAUAUGCAUGUGUAAACAAUAUAAAGUCUGUUUGAUAAAAGUAACGUUUGUUUCACUGUGGUUACUUAAACAAGUAAAAACAAGACCAAAGUUAACAAAAUUUACUUACUAAUGUCAAAUAGAAGUUAAUGUUGAUGUUAUACGUGCUUUCUGACUUCAAUUUCCCUUUUGAUAAACUUACUUUAAAAAGUUGAUAACGUAUGUUUCUGUAACGUAUGUUUCAUUUUUACAUUGAAAGUGGGUUAAUAAUGACGCAAGACCGUUUAUGCCGCCAUAAUUUGUGGUUAAUAUAUCAGAGUUACACACAUGUUAAUAUUCUUUCUUGUUUGGAUUCUUCUUUGAAUGGAUUGGCUCUUAAAUAAUGGUAACGUAUGUUUCUUUUUAAAGUGCUGUUGAAAAGAUUUGAAUAAAAAAUGAAAAUUUCCGAAAAUAGAAUGAUAUUUGAGAGGCUGCAAGCUUAUUUUUACUUAUAAUUAUAUAUAUGCUGUAUUAUUAAGCAUGCAUCGAUUCAAUUAUGUAAUUUGGGUUUCACUUCUUAUUGUUUUAGGUUUGUCACUAUUUAUUUAUAUGCAUUUGGCGACAUUUGAUCAUCCAUUAUACCAAUGAGAUUUUAACAGUCAAAUAUAAUUUUUACCAAUAAUCAAAGUGCAUAUACACACAGCAAUGACUAAUUGCACAUGUUUCGUUUAUUCUGGAUCUUAUUUUUCUGAAACACAAUUUCAAAGUUGAAAAUUCUAGGUGGCGACAGUAACGUAUGUUACAUUUUAGGGCAUUAAUGGUACUUGUAAAAGAAAAAUAACAGAUAGAAAUGUAAAACUGAGAGUGUCCCUAUUAGACAAAGUGGCAGCCCCCUUUCUAACGACAUUUUGACCUCAAGAAAAACCUUCGUAUAAGAGCUACCCAGUGGAACAUCAAAUGCUGUGUUUUAUUGAGAAUGAGCGUUAAGAGUAAUAACUCUUCCUUUCAUAAUUUUUGAGUUAUUGCCCUUUGUUAUUUUUCAUACUUAAAUUUCACCCGAGUUGACCAUAACUCAAAAAGUCUUUUGAAACGUCAACAUGAAACUUCAUAGGUGGACAGAUCUUAUUUAGGAGGAAUGCUGUGAGCAAGAAUGAUAACUCUUCCCUUUAUAAUUUUUGAGUUAUUGCCCUUUGUUAUUUUUCAUACUUUUUGUCAUGAGCUUAUCACAAUAAGUGUUAGAGGUAUCAACUUGAAAGGUGGAUGGAUCUCAUUGAGGAGGAAUGCAGCACACAAGAAUGAUAACCUACCCUGCAUUAUUUUUCAGUUAUUCCCCUUUGUUAUUUUCAGCCUUCAGUAUUCACAUAGGUUUCAAAUCUGUUAUCACUUCAGCCAUCAGUUUUCAUUACCAAAAGACCUCUUAAAAUUGAAUUAUUCUGCUCUACUACAUAUAUAUUCUUCCAAUGAGCAAACACAUUUGGCGGGGGAUGGCCAUGUUAUCAUGGCACUAAGUUUUAUGAUGUAGAAUUAUAUCUAGGCAGUUAAUAUAAAAGUGAAUGUACACAUGUACACAUUCUUGAUAAUAUAUUCAGAAUGUGAAUAUGUUCAAGUUUGUUGCUCACUGCAGAGAAAGGAAUGCAUUUUAGAAAUCUUUUGUAUGGUAUGGUAUUGUAUUUCUAUGUCUCAUACAUUAAUUUCAUUGUAUGUUCUUUUUCAUUGUCACAAAGUCAUGUUUUGAACACAUUUCAUGUUUUAUGUAAUUAUUAUAUUAUUAGCGCCACUUUUUGAAGAGAAGUUGUGGAACUUUUGACAUGUCUCUCUCGUCUGUAUAAUGGUUAACCUUCUGGAAAAUGGUCAAUAUUUCAGAAAGUAUGAAAGCUAUUCACUUAGUAUACAUGUUAAUUGUUAUAAAAGGAUAGCAUUUCCAAAAUGCAGAUUUUGCAAAAUUAUGCAUCCUGUUCAACUUAGUAUUUUGCUUUGCUUUACCUUUCUGUUAGUCAAAUUUUUCAGAAGUUAUCAAAGUUAUUCGCUUCAGACUUGUUCACUUUAAAAAUAUGUCACUAUUUCAGAAGGGGUGGCAAUCCUAAAAUAAAUUUAUUUUUACAAAGUCCUUUAUUUACUUUUUUAAUUGGAAUGCAUUUUUAAGGACAUAUAACUUUUCUAAUAAUUAUUAUUAAACAAGUGACAAAAUGCUCAAACAAAAUGUUUAUGUUAUGACAAAAUUAAUAAAUAACUUCGUCUAAAUUCAGAUUUUUUAAAAUAAUGAAGAAAAAAAACCAAAAGUAAAACGAAAGACUACAAGAGUACUAAAUUAAUGAUGCAGAAUUUAUUGAAGGAAAGUUAAUGUGAUAAGUACUUAUUAUGCAAAGUUUCUUCAGUUAUUUCCCUUUUGUCACAUUAUUAUGCCCCCGCUUCAAAGAAGAGGGGGUAUAUUGCUUUGCAUUUGUCGGUCCGUAGACCAAAUGGUUUCCGAUCAAUAACUAAAGAACGCUUAGGCCUAGGAACUUCAAACUUGGUGUGGUGAUUGGUCAUGAUCAGUAGAUGACCCCUAUUGAUUUUGGGGUCAAGGGGUCAAAGGUGAAGGUCACAUUGACCUUGUAGGUAAAAACGGUUUCCGAUCAAUAACUAAAGAACGCUUUGGCCUAGGAACUUCUUUGUGUGGUGAUUGGUUAUGACUAGUAGAUGACCCCUAUUGGUUUUGGGGUCAAGGGGUCAAAGGUCAAGGUCACAUUGACCUUGUAGGUAAAAACGGUUUCCGAUCAAUAACUUAAGAACGCUUAGGCCUAGGAACUUAAAACUUGGUAUGGUGAUUGGUCAUCACCAGUAGAUGACCCCUAUUGAUUUUGGGGUCAAAGGUGAAGGUCACAUUGACCUUGUAGGUAAAAACGGUUUCCGAUCAAUAACUUAAGAACGCUUAGGCCUAGGACUUUCAAACUUGGUAUGGUGAUUGUUCCGGACCAGUAGAUGACCCUUAAUUGAUUUUGGGGUCAAGGGGUCAAAGAUGAAGGUCACAUUGACCUUGUAGGUAAAAACGGUUUCUGAUCAAUUACUAAAGAACACUUAGGCCUAGGAACUUCAAACCUUGUAUGGUGAUUGGUCAUGACCAGUAGAUGACCCCUAUUGAUUUUAGGGUCAAGGGGUCAAAGGUCAAGGUCUUAUUGACCUUGUAGGUAAAAACAGUUUCCGAUCAAUAACUAAAGAACGCUUAGGCCUAGGAACUUCAAACUUGGUAUGGUGAUUGGUCAUGACCAGUAGAUGACCCCUAUUGAUUUUGGGGCCAAAGGUCAAGGUCACAUUGACCUUGUAGGUAAAAACGGUUUCCGAUCAAUAACUAAAGAACGCAUAGGGCUAGGAACUUUAAACUUGGUAUGGUGAUUGGUCAUGACCAGAAGAUGACCCCUAUUGAUUUUGGGGUCAAAGGUCAAGGUCACAUUGACCUUGUUAGUAAAAACGGUUUCCGAUCAAUAACUCAAGAAUGCUUAGGUCUAGGAACUUCAAACUUUAUAUGAUGAUUGGUCAGUAGAUGACCCCUAUUGAUUUAUGGGUCAAAAGUCAAGGUCACAUUGACCUUGUAAGUAAAAACGGUUUCGAUCAAUAACUAAAGAACACUUAGGUCUAGGAACUUCAAACUUCAUAUGAUGAUUGGUCAUGACCAGUAGAUGACCCCUAUUGAUUUUGGGGUCAAGGGGUCAGUGUCAAAUUGAUCUUGUACUUCAAGAUGGUUUCUGACCAAUAACUCAACAACUCAAGUUGCCUUGGUCGAUAUAUUUUUAUAUUAAACUAAAAAUGCUUUUGGUAUACACAUUUGAAGGUCUGAUGUAAUAUAACAACUUGGCUGUCAUUAAUGAGGCCUCCAUGAUUCAUUUAUGCAUAUUUUAUUUGGUAAGAUUUGUAAUAACUUAAAUUGCUGCACACAACCUAUGGGGUCACAAUAAUUAUUACCUUGUGACUAGUCAUCAACAAGUAGAUAACCCUUAUUAAUUUUUUGUUCACUGGGUCAGAUGUCCUGCAUAAUAACCUGAUCACAUGACUAAUUAGCUGUCCAUAGGGGGCAUACAUGUUUUACAAACAUAUCUUGAUUUUUAUAAAUUCAAUUAUAAAAGAAAAUGUUAUGAAUUGUGAUAAUGUUAGGUAAAGCUGAAAAAAUUAUUGAGCAUCAUUUAUAUUCAACCGCUUUAAAUGUAAUUCCCUGUCUCAUUAGUCAUUCUCAAUUUUUGUUUCAGCUAUGUUUUGUUUAUGUGAUGAUGAUAUGUCAUUUAUUUAUCAUAUGUUGUAUUUGUACAUUUGUUAUAUGAUGAUCAGAUCUUUAUGCUUAAAACAAGUAAUAACUGUUCUGUUAUUAUUUUUGUUUGAAACAAAUGUUAAAAUAGGUGUUUCUACAAUUAACGUUAUAUAUAUAUGAACAUAUAUAUGUUUAAUUGUACAAUAAUUUAUGAU
This is a long non-coding RNA of Ruditapes philippinarum (Manila clam), 5990 nucleotides long. RefSeq lists it as uncharacterized. The transcript is spliced from 2 exons. The record is from RefSeq and is a predicted model, not a curated record. Lineage: Eukaryota; Metazoa; Mollusca; Bivalvia; Venerida; Veneridae.